AGGAAUAUUGGUCAAUGGGCGCAAGCCUGAACCAGCCAUCCCGCGUGCAGGAAGACGGCGCUAUGCGUUGUAAACUGCUUUUCCAGGGGGAGAAACUUGCGUACGUGAUACGCAAUUGACGGUACCCUGGGAAUAAGCAUCGGCUAACUCCGUGCCAGCAGCCGCGGUAACACGGAGGAUGCAAGCGUUAUCCGGAUCCAUUGGGUUUAAAGGGUGCGUAGGCGGACUAUUAAGUCAGUGGUGAAAUCCUGCAGCUUAACUGCAGAACUGCCAUUGAUACUGAUAGCCUUGAGUUUGGUUAAGGUAGGCGGAAUGUGUAAUGUAGCGGUGAAAUGCUUAGAUAUUACACAGAACACCAAUUGCGUAGGCAGCUUACUGAGCCGACACUGACGCUGAGGCACGAAAGCGUGGGGAUCGA
Molecule: ribosomal RNA, 418 nt
Filed under: uncultured bacterium
Lineage: Bacteria
Description: bacterial SSU rRNA
Rfam family: Bacterial small subunit ribosomal RNA
Source: RNAcentral